Molecule: long non-coding RNA, 1577 nt
Organism: Biomphalaria glabrata
Lineage: Eukaryota; Metazoa; Mollusca; Gastropoda; Planorbidae
Exons: 4
Source: RefSeq, a predicted model, not a curated record
CAUGUCACUAUUGGUCACCACAUUCUGAAUGAAUGGUAAUAUCAGUCACCACCAUCUGUUUGAAUGGUACUAUCAGUCACCACCAUCUGUAUGAAUGACAGCAUCUUCAUCAUAGCCCCAGAAUUAUGCAGAAUAGUCUAGUAUAUUGUAAUAAAAUAACCAAUACUAGAAAACCACUAUAUUGGCUUUAUUCAACAAGAUUAAGCUACAGCCAACAAUGAACAAAUAUAAGUACAUCUCUAGUUGUUGAAAUACUAUAGACACACACACUGAACAUGACCUUCUGGCACAUUGGACUCAUGCAGAAAAUUAAUAAUAAAUAUACACUACAUAUAUGUUGUCACAUCAAACCUGGUAUGUAUUGUCACAUUAGAAAUAGUAUGUAUAUAUGGCCUUUUUUAGUGGCGAAGCGACUAUGGAUCAUCUCAUGGAAAUGAGAUGAAUGCCUGGGCAUUAGUUAUGGUUGGAACGAUGUCGCCCACACAUCAGUUCCCCCCACUCCACGCAGCUGAUGUAUCCAAAGGAACGGCAGUGCCGAGAUAGUUUGGGGUCAGUGGCCUUACAGGUUCUGCCAGAGUGUAGCACUGGGUGCUGCAAACUGCCUUAAGGUUGCCAGCUCCUGAUUUUUCCUCAGGGUUGACUCCCAAAGCCUUUCCCAUGAUUGGGUAUAGCUGCAAGGCAACAGAGGUUUGAAUUCAGAGUUUUCCUUCUCCUAGGUGGGUAGCCAGCCAUGGCUAAUGAGCCCCUCCUGCUCGAAGCUUACUGGUUAUUAUUAUUAUUGUUUUUGCAUUGCAUUGAAAGAGAAUGUCAUAAGAAAUAGAAAUGGUUUUGUUCCUUAAAUAGCCAUUGCAUAAGAUUGCUUCACUAAUCUCGCAUUCCCUGUGUAUCAGUCUCUCCAUAGACCUUCUAUAGUUCUUUGAAGUAUAUUUCAUAUUAAGGUAUAUAUUAUCUCUUUUAAAUGUAGGAAGGGAUUUAUUUGCAAUGGUUUUUUUUAUUUAUACUAGAAAAAGUAUCGCCAUUAUUUCCUUUAAUUUUAAGAAAUCGGUCUAAUUGAAAUGGUAAAAAUUAAUCUAAUUUUAUGAAUUACAGAUGUCACUUUAAAAAAGAAGAUGAUUAAGGCCUAUGCAUGUUUCUAGGUCAAUCUAGUCAUGCAUGUUGAUCAUUGACUGAAAUUCUGCCAAGUCUUAGGUUUUGUGACUCACUUAGGCAGCCCAUUCCAUGCUCUAGGGAAGAAGGAGCAUUUAUACAAAUUUGCCCCUAGCGUAAUCAUGCAUCACAUGCCCUCAGAUAUGUACAAAAAAUGAAGUUUGAGAAGAAAGAGAAAGGAUCAAGAUGAUUUACAAGACACUAAAGAAGUUAUCUAUCAACUAUACUCAAUGUAUGGACGACUUGCAGCCAGACUAGAAUUAUAGAGUAAGAUGUUUUUCUGCUGGCUAAACAUGUAUGGAUAAUGAUGCAGAGAAUUUCCUGGUGAUCAAGAAUUAGGAGCUGCACACAGUUUAAUGAAACCAUAUUUUAGGAACAGAUAGAAAACAAAGAACUGCAGCAAAGAUGGCCUGUUUUUAUUCUUCCUCAUG